UGGGGAAUAUUCCGCAAUGGCCGAAAGUCUGACGGAGCAACGCCGCGUGAGUGAUGAAGGUUUUCGGACUGUAAAGCUCUCUUGUUUAGGACGAAAGUGCCUGUUGCGAACAGUUACAGGUAUUGACGGUACUAAACGAGGAAGCCACGGCUAACUACGUGCCAGCAGCCGCGGUAAUACGUAGGUGGCAAGCGUUGUCCGGAAUUAUUGGGCGUAAAGAGCAUGUAGGCGGAGAUUUAAGUCUGUUGUGAAAAUGCGGGGCUCAACCCCGUAUUGCGAUGGAAACGGAAUUUCUUGAGUGCAGGAGAGGAAAGGGGAAUUCCCAGUGUAGCGGUGAAAUGCGUAGAUAUUGGGAGGAACACCAGUGGCGAAGGCGCCUUUCUGGACUGUGUCUGACGCUGAGAUGCGAGAGCCAGGGUAGCGAACGG
This 428-nucleotide ribosomal RNA is filed under the name uncultured bacterium. RNAcentral describes it as "bacterial SSU rRNA". It matches the Rfam family "Bacterial small subunit ribosomal RNA", at positions 355 to 775 of the family's 1533-position model. The record is from RNAcentral.